AGAGGUAGAGGGAGACCUAAGAAGUAUUGGGGAGAGGUGAUCAGGCAGGACAUGGCACGACUGCACAUUUCCGAGGACAUGACCCUUGAUAGGAAGGCCUGGAGGUCAUGCAAUAGGGUUGUAUGAUAGGGGUAGUAAAGCUUUCCUUACUUCAUCCCGAGGGUGAGGCGGGUUGUUGGAUUAUGGUUGGUCUUAGAUGACUUGCAGUUUAUGUUGGACCCACACUAUUCUUGUUGUUUGUCU
RNAcentral lists this long non-coding RNA (243 nucleotides) under Nicotiana benthamiana. RNAcentral's name for it is "long non-coding RNA (NBEN_LNC014427)". The record is from RNAcentral. Lineage: Eukaryota; Viridiplantae; Streptophyta; Magnoliopsida; Solanales; Solanaceae.